RNAcentral lists this ribosomal RNA (328 nucleotides) under uncultured bacterium. RNAcentral describes it as "bacterial SSU rRNA". It matches the Rfam family "Bacterial small subunit ribosomal RNA", at positions 173 to 507 of the family's 1533-position model. The record is from RNAcentral.
GCAGCGGCUUGACAUCAAGACAGUUGUUAAAGCUUCGGCGCCUGAAGAUGAGCCUGCGUCUGAUUAGCUAGUUGGCGGAGUAAUAGCCCACCAAGGCGACGAUCAGUAGCUGGGUCUGAGAGGAUGAUCAGCCACACUGGAACUGAGACACGGUCCCAGACUCCUACGGGAGGCAGCAGUAAGGAAUAUUGCUCAAUGGGAGAAAUCCUGAAGCAGCAACGCCGCGUGAGGGAUGAAGGGCUUUGCUCGUAAACCUCUGUAGUGAGGGAAAAUUUCCAUUCUAUGGAAUAUGAUGGUACCUCAAAAGUAAGCCCCGGCUAACUACGUG